GACCAUCAUCAAGAGUUGGGACAGAUGCCCCACGCCAACCUGCCGAUCCGGGCAAGGUGGUUCUUCGAACAGAAGAUGCGGCCCUGAACUUUAAGUUCAAAGGCAACGAAUCGGAUCGAA
Molecule: non-coding RNA, 120 nt
Filed under: Roseibium alexandrii
Lineage: Bacteria; Pseudomonadati; Pseudomonadota; Alphaproteobacteria; Hyphomicrobiales; Stappiaceae
Description: Labrenzia alexandrii SAM-I-IV sequence
Rfam family: SAM-I/IV (S-adenosyl methionine) riboswitch aptamer
About the family: It is found upstream of a number of genes which code for proteins involved in methionine or cysteine biosynthesis. It has been found mostly in the order Actinomycetales.
Source: Rfam by way of RNAcentral